AGUGGGGAUGGGGCAGAGAAAGAGGGAGACACAGAAUCUGAAGCAGGCUCCAGGCUCUGAGCUGCGAGCACAGAGCCCGACACGGGGCUCGAACUCACGAACUGUGAGAUCAUGACCUGAGCCAAAGCUGGACGCUCAACCAACUGAGCCACCCAGGCGUCCCUCAUAAAUGCUAUUCUAAACUGUGUUACUUGUAAAAGUACUUUUAAAAUUAUUUUUGCUGCUGGGGAGCCUGGGUGGCUCAGUCGGUGAAGCAUCCGGCUUAGGCUCAGGUCAUGACCUCGCCAUCUGUGAGUUGGAGCUCCGAAUUGGGCUGUGCUGACAGCUCAGAGCCUGGAGCCUGCUUCAGAUUCUGUCUCCCUCUCUCUCUGCCCCUCCCCUGCUCACGCUCUGUCUCUCUUUCUCUCUCUCCUUCAAAAAUAAAUAAACAUUAAAAAUAAAUAAAAAAAUUAUUUUUGCUGCCAAAAGUAAAGUAAAAAGUGAGUUUGGUGGGGGUGAGGGGGAUACAUUAUUUAAUCAUGUAUUUCGAAACCAGGGAUGGAAAAGAAAUAAUCACUACAGGAUAGAUAUUAAGUAUUCACCUAAGAUGUUUAGGCUAGCAGAACAACAACAUUCUUGUUUUUCAAAGUGUGGGCCUUUGACCACCUGCUUCAAAAUCUCUUUAGAAAAUAAGCAAACUGCACCUAAGACCACCUGAAGUCAAAUCCCUGGGAAUAGAUUGCAGUUAUCUGAAUUUUAAAAAUCCGGUUUCCAUCAUUCUUUAGUAGAUUGUAGAUCUUUCUGUUCUUUAUUGAUUGUAAAUAACGUGCUGGAACAUUCGCAGUCAUAGGCAGCCGGGCAGCUGAGAUUUUCCCCAGUGACUGUCUUUGCUGGCCCAGUGGGGUUUCCUAACCCUUUGUGUUCUAUGCACCCCACUGGGAGUCUGGUAAAGCUAUGGAUCCUCUUUUAGAAUAAUGUUUUGAACUGAAUAAAUAAAACACAUAGGAUUACUGAGAAAAAUUAUAUUGAAAUGCAGUCACAAGGAAAAAAUGUAAUACAUGCCUUUCAAAAUGAAUAUACAAAAUAAUAAUGCUUAGUAGUAUCUGUAAUAACUAACAAAGUUUCAAAGCAGUGAUGAGCAUAAAUGAAAUUCUGAUGUCUUUAACAACGGAUGUAUCUAUGCUUCUAUUAAUGAUAUCUCUUUCUGUUACUGGUAUUGCUAACGAUUGGUUUAUUUCCAUGUAAAAUAGAAGAAAAUGACCUGAGCCGAAGUCGGACGCUUACCUGACUGAACCACCCAGGUGCCCCUGUAUACCUCCUGAAUUCAAACCCCAGCUAAGGACUUCUUUUCUUUUUUAAUUUUUAUUUAUUUCUGAGAGAGACAGAGGCAGAAUGUGAGCAGGGGAGGGGCAGAGAGAGAGAGGCAGUCACAGAAUCCGAAGCAGGCUCCAGACUCUGAGCUGUCAGCACAGAGCCCGACAUGGGGCUCGAACCCAUGAACCGUGAGAUCAGGACCUGAGCCGAAGUUGGAUGCUCAACCGACUGAGCCACCCAGGGGCCCCUAAAGAUUUCUUUUCUAGAAAGAGAUAGAUGGUAAGCACACGAAAACUUUUCUUGCUUCCCAGACACACAAAGGUGCUGUUCUUAUUUGCCUUGGAAUUGUGUUGGGUGCUUGACUUCUUAGAGACCUCUUACCUGCCCACCUUACAGACAGGUGUCGGAUGGGAAAUCUGGACACCCAGUGGGCAGUUUUCCUUUUGGGCCAUUCAUUCCCAAGAUCCCCGGAAUAAGCUAAUUCCUCUAUAGCUUCCCACGCUGAGUUGCUAAGGGUGGAAGAAGAUUGCUUACAUUACAGGGGUAGAAGCUUAGUCCUCGGCCCUACAGUUGGGGCUUCUGAAACAGGCGUGUGAAAAUAAACCAUACACGCAUUUAUUUUUAAAGCCUCCCCCAUAGCCGCAGCAUAUCGGGAUUCGUACCAAAGGGCCUUAACUACUGGUGCGUCACUCCAUGAUGGUGAAUGAAGGGCUCAGAGCCCAGAGGGUCCAUCUUGUAGAUGAGACCUGUGGCUACCACACUUGGCCCCCAUCAGGGUGCAGAGUUGCUGAGGGAAUGUGGGUCCUUCAGUACGACCUCCGCUAUUCCAUUGGAAGUGACCAUCAGCGCCUCCUGCUGGUGGGGUUGUUCACCCGGGCAGGUGAAGGCACAAUGAAUUGGGCACCAGGAAACAGGUUCCAGGCAGUGAUGCUGACAGAUUGUGUGACAGCUCUUUUUUCUAUCCUGCCUCCAGUUCUUCAGCUAGAAUCCAGAGGGUUCUAUUAGGCCCUCUUUUAUGCAGUGGUCGUAUUAGCUGGCUAAGGCUGCUGCAAUAACGUGCCACAGACUGAGCACCGGAAGCAAUGGAGAUUUAUUUUCUCACAGUUUUGGGAGCCGGAAGUCUGAAAUCAAGGAGAGCACCAUCAUGGAGCCCACGCCAGCUUUCCACAUGCUUACCCUGGAUUUUAGCAGUAAAUUGUUGGGUGUUCACAUAGUGUGUUAUUUGCUGUAUGGCACUUUAUCUGUGUUUAUAAACCAUAGACUUGGUUUUCCUGCCAACUUCAGUGUGGGAUAAUUGAAAUUAAAAAGAAAGAAACCGAG
Neofelis nebulosa (Clouded leopard) is the source of this 2613-nucleotide long non-coding RNA. RefSeq lists it as uncharacterized. The transcript is spliced from 2 exons. The record is from RefSeq and is a predicted model, not a curated record. Lineage: Eukaryota; Metazoa; Chordata; Mammalia; Carnivora; Felidae.